GCCACUCGCAAGAGGGAACUCUACGUGGACUGCUCCGGAUAACGGAGAGGAAGGUGGGGAUGACGUCAAGUCCGCAUGGCCUUUAUGUCCAGGGCUACACACGUGUUACAAUGCAGGGCACAAACCGUUGCCAACCCGCGAGGGGGAGCUAAUCGGAAAAAACUCUGCUCAGUUCGGAUUGCAGUCUGCAACUCGACUGCAUGAAGCCGGAAUCGCUAGUAAUGGCGUAUCAKAUCGACGCCGUGAAUACGUUCCCGGGCCUUGUACACAC
This 271-nucleotide ribosomal RNA is filed under the name uncultured bacterium. RNAcentral's name for it is "partial 16S ribosomal RNA". It matches the Rfam family "Bacterial small subunit ribosomal RNA", at positions 1117 to 1390 of the family's 1533-position model. The record is from RNAcentral.